Molecule: transfer RNA, 77 nt
Filed under: Phytohabitans houttuyneae
Lineage: Bacteria; Bacillati; Actinomycetota; Actinomycetes; Micromonosporales; Micromonosporaceae
Description: tRNA-Pro
Rfam family: tRNA
About the family: Transfer RNA (tRNA) molecules are approximately 80 nucleotides in length.
Source: RNAcentral
CGGGACGUGGCGCAGCUUGGUAGCGCACCGGUCUGGGGGACCGGCGGCCGUCGGUUCAAAUACGGCCGUCCCGACCA